Molecule: small nuclear RNA, 193 nt
Filed under: Echinops telfairi (small Madagascar hedgehog)
Lineage: Eukaryota; Metazoa; Chordata; Mammalia; Afrosoricida; Tenrecidae
Description: U2 spliceosomal RNA (ENSETEG00000022336.1)
Rfam family: U2 spliceosomal RNA
About the family: U2 is a small nuclear RNA (snRNA) component of the spliceosome (involved in pre-mRNA splicing). Complementary binding between U2 snRNA (in an area lying towards the 5' end but 3' to hairpin I) and the branchpoint sequence (BPS) of the intron results the bulging out of an unpaired adenosine, on the BPS, which initiates a nucleophilic attack at the intronic 5' splice site, thus starting the first of two transesterification reactions that mediate splicing.
Source: RNAcentral
AUCGCUUCUCGGCCUUUUGGCUAAGAUCGAGUGUAGUAUCUGUUCUUAUCAGUUUAAUAUCUGAUACGUCCUCUAUCCGAGGACAAUAUAUUAUAUGGAUUUUUGGAGCAGGGAGAUGGAAUAUGAGCUUUCUCCAUCCACUACACACAUCAACCUGGUAUUUGCAUUAUUUCCAGGCAACGGUGCACUCCUU